AUGAAGCCGGAAUUGCUAGUAAUGGCAGGUCAGCAUACUGCCGUGAAUACGUUCCCGGGCCUUGUACACACCGCCCGUCACACCAUGAGAGUUGGAGAUACCCGAAGCCUGUGAGCUAACAAACGAGGCAGCAGUCGAAGGUAGAAUCAAUGAUUGGGGUGAAGUCGUAACAAGGUAAC
RNAcentral lists this ribosomal RNA (179 nucleotides) under uncultured bacterium. RNAcentral describes it as "partial 16S ribosomal RNA". It matches the Rfam family "Bacterial small subunit ribosomal RNA", at positions 1320 to 1500 of the family's 1533-position model. The record is from RNAcentral.